GGGCCAAUAGACAUGCAGUCGAACGGACUUAAUUCAUUCUUUUAGAUUGGAAGCGGUUAGUGGCGGACUGGUGAGUAACGCGUGAGCAACCUGCCUAUUAGAGGGGAAUAACAGUGAGAAAUCAUUGCUAAUACCGCAUAUGCUUACACUAUUGCAUGAUAGAGUAAGGAAAGGAGCAAUCCGCUAAUAGAUGGGCUCGCGUCUGAUUAGCUAGUUGGUGGGGUAGAAGCCUACCAAGGCGACGAUCAGUAGCCGGACUGAGAGGUUGAACGGCCACAUUGGGACUGAGAUACGGCCCAGACUCCUACGGGAGGCAGCAGUCGGGAAUAUUGCGCAAUGGAGGGAACUCUGACGCAGUGACGCCGCGUAUAGGAAGAAGGUUUUCGGAUUGUAAACUAUUGUCGUUAGGGAAGAAAAAAGACAGUACCUAAGGAGGAAGCCCCGGCUAACUAUGUGCCAGCAGCCGCGGUAAUACAUAGGGGGCAAGCGUUAUCCGGAAUUAUUGGGUGUAAAGGGUGCGUAGACGGGUGUUUAAGUUGGUUGUGAAAUCCCUCGGCUCAACUGAGGAACUGCAACCAAAACUGGAUAUCUUGAGUGCAGAAGAGGAGAGUGGAACUCCAUGUGUAGCGGUGGAAUGCGUAGAUAUAUGGAAGAACACCAGUGGCGAAGGCGGCUCUCUGGUCUGCAACUGACGCUGAGGCUCGAAAGCAUGGGUAGCGAACAGGAUUAGAUACCCUGGUAGUCCAUGCCGUANACGAUGAGUGCUAAGUGUUGGGAGGUUUCCGCCUCUCAGUGCUGCAGCUAACGCAUUAAGCACUCCGCCUGGGGAGUACGACCGCAAGGUUGAAACUCAAAGGAAUUGACGGGGGCCCGCACAAGCAGUGGAGUAUGUGGUUUAAU
This 900-nucleotide ribosomal RNA is filed under the name uncultured bacterium. RNAcentral describes it as "bacterial SSU rRNA". It matches the Rfam family "Bacterial small subunit ribosomal RNA", at positions 44 to 950 of the family's 1533-position model. The record is from RNAcentral.